GAUGAAGAACGCAGCGAAAUGCGCUAAGUAAUGUGAAUUGCAGAAUUCAGUGAAUCAUCGAAUCUUUGAACGCACCUUGCGCCUUUUGGUAUUCCGAAAGGCACACCUGUUUGAGCGUCAUGAAUACCUCAAUCUCCAUCUUUUCUUCGGAUUGAUGGGUGACUUGGAUGUUGAGCCCUGCUGGUAUGCUAUAUCAGCUGGCUUUAAACUUAUUAGCCGGCUCUGUACUGGAUCGGUUUGACUCGACGUGAUAAUAUUAUCGUUGAGGAUGCAUGUCUCAUGCAGCCGGAAAGUAUCAAAGCAGCUUCUAGCUUGCCUUUAGUGCACUUUUACAUUUUAGACCUCAGAUCAGGUGGGACUACCCGCUGAACUUAAGCAUAUCAAUAAGCGGAGGA
Molecule: unclassified non-coding RNA, 395 nt
Filed under: soil metagenome
Description: partial contains 5.8S ribosomal RNA, internal transcribed spacer 2, and large subunit ribosomal RNA
Rfam family: 5.8S ribosomal RNA (bases 1-120)
Source: RNAcentral